Long non-coding RNA from Stomoxys calcitrans (stable fly), 1254 nucleotides. RefSeq lists it as uncharacterized. The transcript has 3 exons. The record is from RefSeq and is a predicted model, not a curated record. NCBI's taxonomy places the organism in Eukaryota, Metazoa, Arthropoda, Insecta, Diptera, Muscidae.
ACAAAAGAUGUCUAAGAUAUAAAAUUGCCCACAACACAAACUUAUGCGCUGGACUAUGCCAUUUACGCUGGAUAAUGCUACUUAUUUCUAACACAAAAAGGAUUGAAGUCAGAACCAAUGCCGGAGAACGUGCAACAAAAGAUAGUUAUCUACGCAGACCUUCUAAUAAAAUAAAGACAAAAUUAAAACCUGCCGCUGUCGAAUAGAAACUAUCGGUCUGCUUAAUGAUUGAAGAUUUUUGAUGUGGUAACGCGGCUUUCCAUGGUUGGUGUGUGAGAACCUCUAUCUUUCCUUUUCAUUUGCGGCUACAAGACCUAUCACAUUAAUGUGCUGGACUGUGCCACUUAUGCUGGAUAAUGACACUUAUUCCCCGUCACAAAAAGAAUUGAAAUGAGAAACAAUGCAAGGCAAAGAAAAAGCUAAUCAUGAGCGGCAAAAAUGGCAUUCGCUCACACGGUGCGGUUCUUCCCUAAAAUUAUUAACGCAGACCUUCCAACAAAAGAAAAGCAGAAUCGCAAAUAACAGUUGUUGUCAAUUAGCUAGCGGAUAACGAAACCUCGAAAUCAGUCUGCUACCGUUUGGAGCACCGUCCCCAUUUCCAUAAUGGGGUGUUCGUAGACAUAUUUGUAAUGGUCGUUGGUAACUUUUCGUUGGUAUCGAAGUAUUCAACUAUAAAAACAUAUAGAAUCCGAAGCAAUGUCAAACAAGAGGGAACUAUCUAUUUUUACUUUAAUAUCUGUUUGCCAAAAUUCUUCUUUUCAGCGCUAAAAAGAAGCAAUUUUGCAACGUCGUCCGGCACUUUGAUUCGAAACUUCAGUCGGACAGCAACAACAUGAUAAGAGUCCCCCGUUCCUUGGCAAUCUAAUGUAGCACAUUUUUAUCCCAUUAUCUUCAAAUUAGACGUAGAUAUUUUGUCUUUUAGUUUUUUUCCCUGUUAGAACGAGGAUCAUUCUUCUAAUGAUGUUUUAAUUUUUUCAAUUUUUAAUUUACUUCUGCAAAGAUAAAAUAUCAAAUUAAUGUUUCGUAUAUAAGUCCAUUCUCUAAGCCUAUAAAUCUAAUAAGCGCAAAAGAAUGUUUUCUGUCCCUUAAAUGAUUAUAACUUUGCAACUUUUUUAUUUGAAACCGAUCUUAUAUACAAGCAAGGAUUUAGAGCGGACCGGUCCUGUUUUUACCAAGAAUUUUUGCAAACCUGAGCGGUUUUUAAACAUAUCGUUGAACGUUUAAGUAGGUCAAUACUGUCUGGCAAUAAUUGCA